UAGCUCUAGAAUUACUACGGUUUUUCAUUGUCACUACCUCCUUGUGUCAGGAUUGGGUAAUUUGCGCGCUUGUUGCCUUCCUUGGAUGGUAGGAUAAAGGCCUAUCAUGGUGGUGGUGGUGGGUGUCAGAGAAUUAGGGUUUAAUUCCGGAGAGGGAGCCUGAGAAACGACUACCACAUCCAUUAGAGGGCAAGUCUAGUGCCAGCAGUCAUGGUAAUUCCAACUCCAAUAACGUAUAUUUAAGUAGUUGUAGUUAAAAAGCUCGUGGUUGGAUUUUAGGCUGUGUUGGUCGGUCCGCCUUAGGUGUGCACCGGUUGCCUCAUCCUUUCUAUCGACGAUGCACUCCUGACCUUAACUGGUCGGGUCGUGCAUCCUUUGAAGAAAUUAGAGUGCUUAAAGCAAGUCUACGUUCUGAUGCCAUGUCAAAGAACUAAUUCAACUCAAUAACUUAAGCUUUUAGGUUGAGAUGGUUUUGUAAUAUGGUAUUGGAGCCUUAUUGAUCAAGCGGUCACGAGUUUGAAACUCAUCAUCCCCAUUCAAUUUGAUAAAAA
Molecule: non-coding RNA, 551 nt
Organism: Populus trichocarpa (black cottonwood)
Lineage: Eukaryota; Viridiplantae; Streptophyta; Magnoliopsida; Malpighiales; Salicaceae
Source: Rfam